Molecule: long non-coding RNA, 947 nt
Filed under: Phasianus colchicus (ring-necked pheasant)
Lineage: Eukaryota; Metazoa; Chordata; Aves; Galliformes; Phasianidae
Description: lncRNA (ENSPCLG00000001307.1)
Source: RNAcentral
UAAAAGUAUGACUUGUCCAGGUUUCAUAGCUACUUCGCCUGGACAAAAGUCAAAGUCCAAAAGCCACCAGAGAAGAAAAGUAACCAGCUCUGCUCCUUGCUUGUAUAUUCUGAGGAAGUGGGUCCCUCCUCACACAGCUCUGCCAUGACUGGGACACAAUGAACAUUGAAAGAAUCCAGAGAGUGCUCCUCUCCCAUGGAACGAACAACCAUCCUACAAUCCCAGGACAGCAGGCAAUGGAUGCCCAGAUACUUGUGGUUGUAUGUGAGAGAAAGCAGCAAAGAACUGCCAGAAGUACUUCUACUUACAGAUAAGUAAUUUAUUGAACUACAGGAGGAAACUUGCUUAUAGAUUUGAAAACAAAAUCAAGCAAUAAUUAAAACAACAACAACAACAAAAAAAAACACACUAUCAGAAUACAGCUAAAUGCUUUGACAGUCUGCCGUCCCAGCAGCGUGGCACUGGUAGAGAGCUCACCCCAAACCUCUUCCAUGGAAGAAUUAGGGCCUUUGUAAGCUGAAGUAACAAAUCAGUACCUUUUCUGGGCCAACCUCAAGAGUUCUCACUGUGUUUAAUACAAAAUUUUCAAAAAGAGAUAGGUCUCAAGAAACAAAGGCAUGUUUUUACUGGUAUUAAAGGAACAUAUUUACUCCAGCUCCAAAAACACCCCAGCCCAGAAGAAAAACAACCCUAACCUCAACAACAGAAAACCAAGCUUUCUGCUGUGGCAUUUGACUGACAUUUGAUAUCUCUGCCUGAGGUUUGGCAGGCCUGUGGUGGUGAUCAGGGCUGAAGGAGGGAACAGCAUCAUUGGAAAUGUACAACUGGCAAAAACCAACAGACUGCAAAACCAAAAAGCUCCCUCACAAAAGCCCAAGAUCCCCAAGAGGAGCCCUGCAAGAUAAUUUCAGGAAUGGAUAAAAUAAAAUCAGCACCGCUUUGCGUCA